Molecule: transfer RNA, 82 nt
Filed under: Podarcis lilfordi (Lilford's wall lizard)
Lineage: Eukaryota; Metazoa; Chordata; Lepidosauria; Squamata; Lacertidae
Description: tRNA.Leu
Rfam family: tRNA (bases 16-74)
About the family: Transfer RNA (tRNA) molecules are approximately 80 nucleotides in length. Their secondary structure includes four short double-helical elements and three loops (D, anti-codon, and T loops).
Source: RNAcentral
GCCCUCAUGCCGGGAUAGCUCAGUUGGUUAGAGCAAGGCACUGAGAAUGCCAAGGUUGCAGGUUCGAUCCCCGUAUGGGACA